GAUGAACGCUGGCGGCGUGCCUAAUACAUACAAGUCGAGCGAACGGACGAGAAGCUUGCUUCUCUGAUGUUAGCGGCGGACGGGUGAGUAACACGUGGAUAACCUACCUAUAAGACUGGGAUAACUUCGGGAAACCGGAGCUAAUACCGGAUGAUAUUUUGAACCGCAUGGUUCAAAAGUGAAAGACGGUCUUGCUGUCACGUAUAGAUGGAUCCGCGCUGCAUUAGCUAGUUGGUAAGGUAACGGCUUACCAAGGCAACGAUGCAUAGCCGACCUGAGAGGGUGAUCGGCCACACUGGAACUGAGACACGGUCCAGACUCCUACGGGAGGCAGCAGUAGGGAAUCUUCCGCAAAGGGCGAAAGCCUGACGGAGCAACGCCGCGUGAGUGAUGAAGGUCUUCGGAUCGUAAAACUCUGUUAUUAGGGAAGAACAUAUGUGUAAGUAACUGUGCACAUCUUGACGGUACCUAAUCAGAAAGCCACGGCUAACUACGUG
Molecule: ribosomal RNA, 497 nt
Filed under: uncultured bacterium
Lineage: Bacteria
Description: partial 16S ribosomal RNA
Rfam family: Bacterial small subunit ribosomal RNA
Source: RNAcentral